AAGGUACUUCCUCCGUUUCAUAAUUCUUGUCUCAAAUUUGUCCAGAUAUGGAUGUAUCUAUUCCGAAAAACCGUCUAGAUACAUGUAAUAUUUGGACAAAAAUUAUGAAACGGAGGAAAUACUUU
Non-coding RNA from Brachypodium distachyon (stiff brome), 125 nucleotides. Lineage: Eukaryota; Viridiplantae; Streptophyta; Magnoliopsida; Poales; Poaceae. The record is from Rfam.